This 433-nucleotide ribosomal RNA is filed under the name uncultured bacterium. RNAcentral's name for it is "bacterial SSU rRNA". It matches the Rfam family "Bacterial small subunit ribosomal RNA", at positions 346 to 796 of the family's 1533-position model. The record is from RNAcentral.
GUGCAGCAGUCGCGAAUCUUGGUCAAUGGGCGAAAGCCUGAACCAGCGACACGAAAGAAAGAAGAAGGUCGAAUGAUUGUAAAAGUCGGACCUCUAGAAGAGAAAAGGACAAAGUAGAGGAGAAGUCUCGUCAAAUGAUUGUGCCAGCAGACGCGGUCAGACAACGGAGGCGAGUGUUAUUCUACAGGAAUAGGCGUAAAGGGUUGGUAGGUGGGUUCAAGAAAGAUGGAAAGAAAAGCCAUCCGAAGAGGGUGAGGAAAAGAAAAUAACAAGGAACCUAGAGUGAAAGAGAGGUAUGCGGAAGGACUGAGGGACGAGUGAAAUCGGGAGAGCUCAGGAGGAACAACAGAGGCGAAGGCGGCAUACUGGAGAAAAACUGACAUUGAACAACGAAAGCGUAGGGAGCAAAGGGGAUUAGAUACCCCCGUAGUCC